GAGUAAGGGUGUUUGGAGGAGAGAGAGGGGGAGUAAGGGUGUUUGGAGGAGAGAGAGGGGGAGUAAGGGUGUUUGGAGGAGAGAGAGGGGGAGUAAAGGGUGUUUGGAGGAGAGAGAGGGGGAGUAAGGGUGUUUGGAGGAGAGAGAGGGGAGUAAGGGUGUUUGGAGGAGAGAGAGGGGAGUAAGGGUGUUUGGAGGAGAGAGAGGGGGAGUAAGGGUGUUUGGAGGAGAGAGAGGGGGAGUAAGGGUGUUGGGAGGAGAGAGAGGGGGAGUAAGGGUGUUUGGAGGAGAGAGAGGGGGGAUAAGGGUGUUGGGAGGAGAGAGAGGGGGAGUAAGGGUGUUUGGAGGAGAGAGGGGGAGUAAAGGGUGUUUGGAGGAGAGAGGGGGAGUAAGGGUGUUUGGAGGAGAGAGGGGGAGUAAGGGUGUUUGGAGGGGGAGUAAGGGUGUUUGGAGGAGAGAGGGGGAGUAAGGGUGUUUGGAGGAGAGAGGGGGAGUAAGGGUGUUUGGAGGGGAAGAGGGGGGAGUAAGGGUGUUUGGAGGAGAGAGAGGGGGAGUAAGGGUGUUUGGAGGAGAGAGAGGGGGAGUAAGGGUGUUUGGAGGAGAGAGAGGGGGAGUAAGGGUGUUGGGAGGAGAGAGAGGGGGAGUAAGGGUGUUUGGAGGAGAGAGGGGGGGAGUAAAGGGUGUUUGGAGGAGAGAG
Long non-coding RNA from Oncorhynchus tshawytscha (Chinook salmon), 697 nucleotides. NCBI's taxonomy places the organism in Eukaryota, Metazoa, Chordata, Actinopteri, Salmoniformes, Salmonidae. The record is from Ensembl.